This 2067-nucleotide ribosomal RNA is filed under the name Triticum aestivum (bread wheat). RNAcentral's name for it is "partial small subunit ribosomal RNA". Lineage: Eukaryota; Viridiplantae; Streptophyta; Magnoliopsida; Poales; Poaceae. The record is from RNAcentral.
AUGGAAGUCAUUGAUGCGCGCGCGCGGGAGCUGGGGAUCGACCUCGACUCCGUCGACGUCGACUCCAUCACCCUCCCGCCCGGCGAGGACUUCGACAUCCUCAGCGACGACGAGGAUUUACUUCAGAAUGAAGACAUUCCAGAGCUCGAGAUAGGUUUUGCAAACAUUAUUGUGGUGGACAAUCUGCCGGUUGUUCCCCGAGAGAAGUACGAGAAGCUGGAGAAUGAAGGUGGGCUUUGGAUGCCUACGGACCCAGAGACCAAGAAGACCCAGGGCUACUGCUUCAUUGAGUUCAAUACUCCGCAGGAAGCUGAGUUUGCUAUGGAAAAAACACGUGGCUACAAACUGGACAAAUCUCACAUAUUUGCUGUUAAUAUGUUUGAUGACUUUGAGAAGUACAUGAAAGUUCCUGAUGAGUGGGCGCCUGCUGAAAUCAAGUCAUACACUCCUGGAGAAAAUCUUCUGAAGUUGCUGACUGAUGAUAAGGCCAGAGAUCAGUUCGUGAUACGUGCUGGUACGUUCACGGAAGUGUACUGGAAUGACGCUAGACGGGCAAUGCCUGAGCUUGUGUACCAGAAGCAGUACUGGACGGAUAGCUAUAUUCAAUGGUCCCCUCUUGGAACACACUUGGCGACCGUGCAUAGGCAGGGCGCGCAGGUGUGGGGUGGUGAUGACAAAUUUGUUCGUCUAAUGCGCUUUGCUCAUCCACAGUUGAAACUCAUCGAUUUCUCUCCCGGUGAGAAAUAUUUGAUCACUUACAGCAGCCAUGAGCCCAGCAACCCCAGAGAUACACAUAGGGUUGUACUAAAUAUCUUUGAUGUACGAACUGGAAAAGUAAUGUGGGAGUUCAAGGGAAGUGCUGAUGAUUUCACUACUGGUGGAAAUAUGGGUGUCUCUGGUGUUUCAUGGCCUAUCUUCAGGUGGGGUGGUGGAAGAGAUGAUAAGUAUUUUGCUAGGCUUGGAAAGAAUGUUAUAUCUGUCUAUGAUACCGAGACGUUCGCUCUUAUUGAUAAGAAGUCCUUGAAGGUAGAAAAUGUGGUUGACUUCAGUUGGUCUCCCACUGAUCCUAUCAUAUCACUCUUUGUGCCUGAAUUGGGUGGUGGAAAUCAGCCUGCCAGGGUCAGUCUUGUGCCAAUUCCGGGUAAAGAGGAGAUUCGGCAGAAAAACCUUUUCAGUGUUAGCGACUGCAAAAUGUACUGGCAAAACAAUGGAGAAUAUCUGGCUCUCCAGGUAGAUAGGUACACAAAAACAAAGAAGAACAUCCCAAUUGAGGUCUUUGAAUUGGACAACAAGAAUGACAAGAUAAUUGCCUUUGCAUGGGAGCCUAAAGGUCGCCGCUUUGCUGUUAUUCAUGGUGAUGGGCCUAAGCCUGAUAUAAGUUUCUACAUCAUGAAAGCAGUCAACAAUAAUGUUAGUCGUGUGUCCAAGCUCACCACACUCAAGGGCAAGCAGUCCAAUGCAUUGUUCUGGUCUCCUGCUGGCCGUUUCAUUGUUCUGGCAGGGCUGAUGGGUUUCAAUGGCCAGCUGGAGUUCUUCAACGUUGAUGAUCUUGAGCCCAUGGCGACAGGAGAACAUUUUAUGGCGACUGACAUCAUGUGGGAUCCUACUGGAAGAUAUCUCGCAACUGCAGUUACCUCGGUUCAUGAGAUGGAAAAUGGUUUCCAAAUCUGGUCCUUCAAUGGCAAGCAAAUUUACAACGUCUCAAAGGAUCACUUCUAUCAGUUCCAAUGGCGCCCAAGGCCACCGUCGCUACUUACUCCCGAGAAGGAGGAGGACAUCUCAAAGAACCUCAAGCGGUACAGCAAGAAGUACGAACACGAGGAUCAGGACGUGCACCACCUUUUGGACGAGGAGGAGCGCAAGAGACGGAUGCGGCUUCAAGAGGUGUGGGAAGCAUGGGUCGCCAAGUGGAAGCAGCUGCACGAGGAGGAGCGAGCAUUCAGGAUGCAGCUCAGAGGCGCGGAGGACAGCGACAAGGAAGAAGAGGCUGAAUACAAGGAGAUUGAGGCGGAGGAGCUGGUUGAUGUCACAGAAAAAACCGUUGCCUUUGACCUGGAUCAGGAGUGA